RNAcentral lists this ribosomal RNA (546 nucleotides) under Salmonella enterica subsp. enterica serovar Corvallis. RNAcentral's name for it is "bacterial SSU rRNA". It matches the Rfam family "Bacterial small subunit ribosomal RNA", at positions 997 to 1533 of the family's 1533-position model. Lineage: Bacteria; Pseudomonadati; Pseudomonadota; Gammaproteobacteria; Enterobacterales; Enterobacteriaceae. The record is from RNAcentral.
UUUCCAGAGAUGGACUGGUGCCUUCGGGAACUGUGAGACAGGUGCUGCAUGGCUGUCGUCAGCUCGUGUUGUGAAAUGUUGGGUUAAGUCCCGCAACGAGCGCAACCCUUAUCCUUUGUUGCCAGCGGUCCGGCCGGGAACUCAAAGGAGACUGCCAGUGAUAAACUGGAGGAAGGUGGGGAUGACGUCAAGUCAUCAUGGCCCUUACGACCAGGGCUACACACGUGCUACAAUGGCGCAUACAAAGAGAAGCGACCUCGCGAGAGCAAGCGGACCUCAUAAAGUGCGUCGUAGUCCGGAUUGGAGUCUGCAACUCGACUCCAUGAAGUCGGAAUCGCUAGUAAUCGUGGAUCAGAAUGCCACGGUGAAUACGUUCCCGGGCCUUGUACACACCGCCCGUCACACCAUGGGAGUGGGUUGCAAAAGAAGUAGGUAGCUUAACCUUCGGGAGGGCGCUUACCACUUUGUGAUUCAUGACUGGGGUGAAGUCGUAACAAGGUAACCGUAGGGGAACCUGCGGUUGGAUCACCUCCUUACCUGAAAGAA